GGCAAAGCUAAAGGGGCUGGCACCGCAGCAGGGGUGCGGAGAGGGACUGGGGGCGGGCCAGCCCAGCGGGCAGCCUCGGUUCCUGACUCCUGGUCUGUGCUUGUGGGCGGCCUGAACCACCUCAAUCCGGACAAUUGCCAAACCCACCCUGGGCUGUAGCUGGGAACCGGUUGUGGCUCCUGCCAGUCUAGACCCCGGGGAACAAUUUAUGCACGUGACCCAGCCACCUAAGACUCUCCUGGCCCAGGUCUGGAAUGGAGUCUAUGACCUAUGUGAGGAGAGUAUGAAAAUAACAAAUAGAGACCCUGUAGCCUAAGGAUCAAGAUUCUAGUUAUCCUCAUAGUCCAGAGGGUCGGACAAGAGGACCAGAAGUUCAAAGUCAUCUUCUGCUGCAUAAAUCUGAGGCUAAGCUAGCUCCAUGAGACCUUGCCUCAGAACCCCAAAGAGACCUUUUCAACCUAGCUUCUUUGGGCCUAUAUGGUGGAGGUGGCCGCAACCAAGAGAAAACGAUAUAUAGAGAAUGGUGUUGGCUUUGUUCUGGCAAAACAGAGAUUCAGACAAAGGCCAGAAGAUAAUGGUGGUGCUCCUGAAUAGAGGUCCCCUGGUUCAAACGUCCAUCUACUGGAACAAGGUCAAUGAUCCUCCAGGGACUCUCAACUCCCUAUCUACGCACUCUCUACAGCAAAACAUCCUGUGCUUGGGAAAGUCUGAGCUGAACCCAGCUCCUGUGGCUUCUGCUCAAUCUUAGUUCCUUGUUUGCAAGAAUGAGAGGCAAACAGCAAGCCUUGUGCAUCUUUGUAUAGAUAGAAAACAACCCUCCCAACCCCCCAUUUUACAGUAUUUGGGUUUGGCUUUUUUUCUCUUUCUUUUCUCUUCUCUUUCUUCUCUUCUCUUCUCUUCUCUUCUCUUCUCUUCUCUUCUCUUCUCUUCUCUUCUCUUCUCUUCUCCUCUCCUCUCCUCUCCUCUCCUCUCCUCUCCUCUCUUCCUCUUCCUCUUCCUCUUCCUCUUCCUCUUCCUCUUCCUCUUCCUCUUCCUCUUCCUCUUCCUCUUCCUCUUCCUCUCCUCUCCCUCUCCUCUCCCUCUCCUCUCUGUGGGAAGCCAACUCCAAGAUGGCGCCGGUUUCCGGUUGCCGUUGUCAUAAACAACACCACUGCGCAGGCGUCAAUUCGAAUUUGGGGCCAACCCCUCCCAAGCGGGUGCAUGCAAAUUGGGUGCUGGCAGACUGACCAACCCCAGGGGGCCACGGAGCCUUCUCCUGUGCUGGGGUACAUAUAAGCAGGGCUCCCUGGGCGCCUGGGGUCCCCGUAGAAGCAUCAAGGCGAUCCUGCAAUAAAGGCUGUUGAGAAGAA
RNAcentral lists this long non-coding RNA (1349 nucleotides) under Mus musculus (house mouse). RNAcentral's name for it is "predicted gene, 32391". Lineage: Eukaryota; Metazoa; Chordata; Mammalia; Rodentia; Muridae. The record is from RNAcentral.